RNAcentral lists this ribosomal RNA (440 nucleotides) under uncultured bacterium. RNAcentral describes it as "partial 16S ribosomal RNA". It matches the Rfam family "Bacterial small subunit ribosomal RNA", at positions 338 to 795 of the family's 1533-position model. The record is from RNAcentral.
CCUACGGGAGGCAGCAGUGGGGGAUAUUGCACAAUGGGGGGAACCCUGAUGCAGCGACGCCGCGUGGGUGAAGAAGCGCCUCGGCGCGUAAAGCCCUGUCAGCAGGGAAGAAAAUGACGGUACCUGAAGAAGAAGCCCCGGCUAACUACGUGCCAGCAGCCGCGGUAAUACGUAGGGGGCAAGCGUGAUCCGGAUUUACUGGGUGUAAAGGGGGCGCAGACGGCGAUGCAAGCCAGGAGUGAAAGCCCGGGGGCCAACCCCGGGACAGCUCUUGGAACUGCGUGGCUGGAGUGCAGGAGGGGCAGGCGGAAUGCCUGGUGUAGCGGUGAAAUGCGUAGAUAUCAGGAGGAACACCGGUGGCGAAGGCGGCCUGCUGGACUGCAACUGACGUUGAGGCCCGAAAGCGUGGGGAGCAAACAGGAUUAGAUACCCUAGUAGUC